RNAcentral lists this transfer RNA (66 nucleotides) under Rhagio sp. KW-2016. RNAcentral's name for it is "tRNA-Phe". The record is from RNAcentral. Lineage: Eukaryota; Metazoa; Arthropoda; Insecta; Diptera; Rhagionidae.
GUUUAAAUAGCUUAUAAUUAGAGUAUAACAUUGAAGCUGUUAGGGAGAACAUUUGUUCUUUAAACA